CAGCGGCAGACGGGUGAGUAACACGUAGGUGAUCUACCCCAGAGACGGGGAUAACGGGUGGAAACAUCCGCUAAUACCGGAUAGGCUUGUUCGGUCAAAGGGACAAGGAAAGGCUCCGGCGCUCUGGGAGGAGCCUGCGGCCCAUCAGCUAGUUGGCGGGGUAACGGCCCACCAAGGCAAAGACGGGUAGGGGGUGUGAGAGCAUGGUCCCCCACAAUGGGACUGGAACACGACCCAUACUCCUACGGGAGGCAGCAGCAGGGAAUAUUGCACAAUGGACGGAAGUCUGAUGCAGCGACGCCGCGUGGAUGAAGAAGGCCCUCGGGUUGUAAAAUCCUUUACAGGGGGAAGAGGAAGGACGGUACCCCUGGAACAAGUGUCGGCUAACUACGUGCCAGCAGCCGCGGUAAGACGUAGGACACAAGCGUUAUCCGGAUUUACUGGGCGUAAAGCGUCUGCAGGCGGACAGGUAAGUUGGGCGUGAAAGCUCCGGGCCCAACCCGGAGAGGUCGUUCAAUACUGCGUGUCUAGAGGGUGUCAGAGGGGAGUGGAAUUUCCGGAGUAGCGGUAAAAUGCGCAGAGAUCGGAAAGAACAGCAAUGGCGAAGGCAGCUCCCUGGGGCAACCCUGACGCUGAGAGACGAAAGCUAGGGGAGCGAACAGGAUUAGAGACCCUGGUAGUCCUAGCCCUAAACGAUGGAUGCUGGAUGUGGGGCCAUAGCGCUCCGUGUCGAAGCGAAC
Molecule: ribosomal RNA, 740 nt
Filed under: uncultured organism
Description: bacterial SSU rRNA
Rfam family: Bacterial small subunit ribosomal RNA
Source: RNAcentral